AAAAGACAUCAUAGAGAAGAGAGUGACUCACAAGUGGUGUGGGCUCCAACAAGUAGGAUUGAUUUUGAAGUUUGGGAAUGAGACACUACUAAUUAUUGGACAAGGGAACUAAAAUCAGAUAUGAGAAGGCACUAAAGAAGACUUUGUCUUUGCUGAACAUAAGAUUUUAUAACAAACCAUCAUUUCUGAGAUUUUUAUCGUGGAACAUCGUGCUGCCAUCUGGGAAGAAAAACACGAUGGUACAGGAGCAGCUGCUCCACCUGUCCUUGAAGUGAGGAAUUAUAUUUGCUGCAUUUAUUGAGGUUGACAAGAACCACCCAGCAAGUGUUUGUGAUGUUUGGCUGUUAACUCCGUAAAUGGUUCCAAUGGGCUGAAUUCUGAUGGCCUUUCUCUCAAUG
Molecule: long non-coding RNA, 398 nt
Filed under: Numida meleagris (helmeted guineafowl)
Lineage: Eukaryota; Metazoa; Chordata; Aves; Galliformes; Numididae
Description: lncRNA (ENSNMEG00000021613.1)
Source: RNAcentral